AAACAUGACUUUGAUCUGCGUCCUCAUCUGGACUCUCCUCUGCUGCUGCUUCACAGAGUCCAGAGGACAGAUCACAGUGACUCAGCCUGGAGCAGUGAGCUCUGCUGUGGGAGGAUCUGUGACCAUCAAGUGUAGGACCAGUCAGGAUGUUUAUGACUCUAAGCGUUUAGCCUGGUACCAACAGGCAGAUGGAGACCCCCCCAAACGUCUCAUUUACUUUGCUAGCACUCGAGAUUCAGGGAUUCCAGCUCGUUUUACAGGCAGUGGAUCAAACUCUGACUUCACUCUGACCAUCAGUGGAGUCCAGGCUGAAGAUGCAGCAGUUUAUUACUGUCAGAGUCAGCACUAUCCUAAUAGUCAGUGGGUGUUCACACAGUGAAAAACAGUUGUACAAAAACCUCCCUCAGUCAGACUGAACAGAAAGUGAAGUGACUGCUGCAGCGGGAAGAUACUGCAGAGACUGAUACAGUUCACUGAGAACACACACAGACAC
Non-coding RNA from Oreochromis niloticus (Nile tilapia), 493 nucleotides. The record is from the annotation of a RefSeq genome assembly. NCBI's taxonomy places the organism in Eukaryota, Metazoa, Chordata, Actinopteri, Cichliformes, Cichlidae.